Molecule: ribosomal RNA, 426 nt
Filed under: uncultured bacterium
Lineage: Bacteria
Description: bacterial SSU rRNA
Rfam family: Bacterial small subunit ribosomal RNA
Source: RNAcentral
UGGGGAAUAUUGCACAAUGGGCGCAAGCCUGAUGCAGCGACGCCGCGUGAGGGAUGACGGUCUUCGGAUUGUAAACUCCUGUUGACCGGGACGAAUGGGCUCUGACCUAACACGUCGGAGCAGUGACGGUACCGGUUGAGGAAGCCACGGCUAACUCUGUGCCAGCAGCCGCGGUAAUACAGAGGUGGCAAGCGUUGUUCGGAAUUACUGGGCGUAAAGGGCGCGUAGGCGGCCUUCUUAGUCAGACGUGAAAUCCCCGGGCUUAACUCGGGAACUGCGUCUGAUACUGGAAGGCUGGAGUUCGGGAGAGGAAUGUGGAAUUCCAGGUGUAGCGGUGAAAUGCGUAGAUAUCUGGAGGAACACCGGUGGCGAAGGCGGCAUUCUGGACCGAAACUGACGCUGAGGCGCGAAAGCCAGGGGAGCAAA